This 28-nucleotide small RNA is filed under the name Bombyx mori (domestic silkworm). RNAcentral describes it as "ovarian small RNA-30127". The record is from RNAcentral. Lineage: Eukaryota; Metazoa; Arthropoda; Insecta; Lepidoptera; Bombycidae.
UCUUCGCUGAGAAGCCGAAGAGGGAUCC